Molecule: ribosomal RNA, 591 nt
Filed under: uncultured archaeon
Lineage: Archaea
Description: bacterial SSU rRNA
Rfam family: Bacterial small subunit ribosomal RNA
Source: RNAcentral
ACCGCGUGAGUGAAGAAGGCCUCUUGGGUUGUAAAGCUCUUUUGUAGGGGAAGAUAAUGACUGUACCCUAAGAAUAAGGUCCGGCUAACUUCGUGCCAGCAGCCGCGGUAAUACGAAGGGACCUAGCGUAGUUCGGAAUUACUGGGCGUAAAGCGCGCGUAGGCUGUUGAGUUAGUUAAUUGUGAAAUCCCAAAGCUUAACUUUGGAACUGCAAUUAAAACUGCUCGACUAGAGUUUGAUAGAGGAAAGCGGAAUACAUAGUGUAGAGGUGAAAUUCGUAGAUAUUAUGUAGAACACCAGUUGCGAAGGCGGCUUUCUGGGUCAACACUGACGCUGAGGCGCGAAAGUAUGGGUAGCAAAGAGGAUUAGAUACCCUCGUAGUCCAUACCAUAAACGAUGAUUGCUAGAUGUUGGAAAUUUAUUUUCAGUAUCGCAGCUAACGCAUUAAGCAAUCCGCCUGGGGAGUACGACCGCAAGGUUAAAACUCAAAUGAAUUGACGGGGACCCGAACAAGCGGUGGAGCAUGUGGUUUAAUUCGAAGAUACGCGCAGAAACUUUACAACCCUUGACAUGUCUGUCGCGAGUUUAGGG